GACGGGACAAAGGAUCAGAGAAUAUCACAGAAAGGAAAAUAAGGCUAAGGAAGAGGAGGCUCUUACAAAAGAGGUGAAACAGUUGAAAGUCCAAAACCAGGAACUGACAACCUUGAACAUGUCUUUGCAGAGAGCUGUGCCCCAGCCUCUUUGGUCACUGCCCAACUACCAGCCCCUCAGAACACUGUCCAACCACCAGCCCCAAAGGGGUACUCUGGAGAUCUUCUCAUGUGUGAGGAGGAUGGCCGCUGGGUGCAGAUCCAGCACCCUUGUGAGUAAACCCUGGUCUCACUGACUGGCUCGUCCAGACCAGACGGCUCCCCUGGCACUGGGAUUACAGGCUUCAGGGAAGCAGAACAUUCAGUCCUGAAUUAGGAUAUUUUGCAGUCUUGAUUACUAAAUCAAUCAAUGAUUUUGAAUAAGGUUGUGGCUAAAGCACACAUUUAGGGACUGUGCCUGAAAUACAAAUUAGACUUCCCAUGGCUUUGUAAAAUUAUGACACAGAAGGCAGUAUGUUGCAUAUUAUGUUUUGAAGAUAAUGUUGGCGAUAAUUUGGCUGUUUCACACUCACCACAAUGGCUUUUGAAUUAUCUGUCGUUCUGCCCCUGAACGAGACAGUUAACCCACUGUUCCUAGGCCGUCAUUGAAAAUCAGAAUGUGUUCUUAACUGACUUGCCGAGUUAAAUAAAGAUGAAAUAAAAGCAGCAGCUCUAGCCUUUAGCUCACACCAACUAUCACAUCAGAUUAGGGCUGGGCGAUAUCUCAUUUUUGUGCGAUAUACCAAAUGGAUAUAUCGCAAGAAUCGAGUUUUUUUUCAUGAAUUUUUUUACGAGGGUUUACGUUGUAACGUUGGCAAAUGUUGCAUCUCACGCUCUGGCAGCCCAUAAAUCAAAUACAAUCCAAUUGUAUUUGUCACAUACACAUGGUUAGCAGAUGUUAAUGCGAGUGUAGCGAAAUACUUGUGCUUCUAGUUCCGACAGUGCAGUAAUAUCUAACAAGUAAUCUAACAAUUCCCCAAGAACUACCUAAUACACACAAAUCUAAAGAGGUGAAUGAGAAUGUGUUCAUGUAAGUAUAUGGAUGAGCGAUGGCCGAACGGCAUAGGCAAGGUGCAAUAGAUGGUAUAAAAUACAGUACACACAGACGUGAUAUGAGUAAUGUAAGAUAUGUAAACAUUAUUAAAGUGGCAUUAUUUAGAGUGCAUUGUAUGACUAGUGAUCGGGUCUCAAUGUAGGCAGCAGCCUCUCUGAAUUAGUGAUUGCUGUUUAGCAGUCUGAUGGCCUUGAGAUAGAAGCUGUUUUUCAGUCUCUUGGUCCCAGCUUUGAUGCACCUGUACUGACCUCGCCUUCUGGAUGGUAGCAAGGUGAACAGGCAGUGGCUUGGGUGGUUGUUGUCCUUGAUGAUCUUUUUGGACUUCCUGUGAUAUCGUGUGCUGUAGGUGUCCUGAAGGGUAGGUAGUUUGCCCCCGGUGAUGCGUUGUGCAGACCACACCACCCUCUGGAGAGCCUUGCCGUUGUGGGCGGUGCAGUUGCCGUACCAGGCGGUGAUACAACCCGACAGGAUGCUCUCAAUUGUACAUCUGUAAAAGUUUGUGAGGGUUUUAGGUGACAAGCCAAAUUUAUUCAGCCUCCUGAGGUUGAAGAGGCGCUGUUGCGCCUUUUUCACCACACUGUCUGUGUGGGUGGACCAUUUCAGUUUGUCCGUGAUGUGUAUGCCGAGGAACUUUUCACCUUCUCCACUGCUGUCCCGUUGAUGUGGAUAUGAGGGUGCUCACUCUGCUGUUUCCUGAAGUAAUCUCCUUUGUUUUGCUGAUGUUGAGUGAGAGGUUGUUUCCUGACCCCACACUCUGAGUGCCCUCACCUCCUCCCUGUAGGCUGUCUCUGCAUUAUUGGUAAUAAAGCCUACUACUGUUGUGUCGUCUGCAAACUUGAUGACUGAGUUGGAGGCGUGCAUGGCCACGUAGUCAUGGGUGAACAGGGAGUACAGGAGGGGGCUGAGCACACACCAUUGUGGGGCCCCAGUGUUGAGGGACAGUGAAGUGGAGAUGUUGUUUCCUACCUUCACAACCUGGGGGUGGCCCGUCAGGAAGUCCAGGACCCAGUUGCACAGGGCGGGGUUGAGACCCAGGGCCUCAAGCUUAAUGAGGAGCUUGGAGGGUACUAUGGUGUUGAGUGCUGAACUAUAGUCAAUGAACAGCAUUUUUUUUAUUUCACCUUUAUUUUAACCAGGUAGGCCAGAUGAGAACACGUUCUCAUUUACAUCUGCGACCUGGCCAAGAUAAAGCAAAGCAGUGUGACAAAAACAACAACACAGAUUACACAUAAACAAACGUAGAGUCAAUAACACAAUAGAAAAAUAUAUGUACAGUGUGUGCAAAUGUAGAAGAGUAUGGAGUUAAGGCAAUAAAUAGGCCAGAGAGCAUUAACUCUUUCACUCAAACCCAGCCCUUUUCUUUUGUGUCACAGGCUGUCAUAUCUGUUCCGCCCGUUAGGGACGUUUUCCUUUAUGACGUCAUUUGUAAUCAAGUUAUUAUUAAAUAUGUGUAUGUGUAAUUCUGUGUGAUCAGUUAGGUAUUUAGUAAAUAAAUAAUUAAAACCAAUUUUGUAUUGCUGAUUCAACUUGUUAGCCAGGGUUUGUGAA
Long non-coding RNA from Oncorhynchus nerka (sockeye salmon), 2640 nucleotides. RefSeq lists it as uncharacterized. The transcript is spliced from 3 exons. The record is from RefSeq and is a predicted model, not a curated record. Lineage: Eukaryota; Metazoa; Chordata; Actinopteri; Salmoniformes; Salmonidae.